RNAcentral lists this ribosomal RNA (253 nucleotides) under uncultured bacterium. Its description in RNAcentral is "partial 16S ribosomal RNA". It matches the Rfam family "Bacterial small subunit ribosomal RNA", at positions 524 to 776 of the family's 1533-position model. The record is from RNAcentral.
GACGAAGGAUGCAAGCGUUAUCCGGAUUCGUUGGGUUUAAAGGGUGCGUAGGCGGCCAGAUAAGUCAGUGGUGAAAUCCUGUUGCUUAACAACAGAACUGCCAUUGAUACUGUUUGGCUUGAGUACAGUUGCUGUGGGCGGAAUAUGACAUGUAGUGGUGAAAUACAUAGAGAUGUCAUAGAACACCGAUUGCGAAGGCAGCUCACAAAACUGUAACUGACGCUGAGGCACGAAAGUGCGGGGAUCAAACAGG